RNAcentral lists this unclassified non-coding RNA (636 nucleotides) under Allium campanulatum. RNAcentral describes it as "sequence contains ITS1, 5.8S rRNA gene and ITS2". The stretch from base 242 to 397 matches the Rfam family "5.8S ribosomal RNA". The record is from RNAcentral. Lineage: Eukaryota; Viridiplantae; Streptophyta; Magnoliopsida; Asparagales; Amaryllidaceae.
UCGAGUCCCUCUCUGUGAGACUGAGAACAUGUAGCUUUACCCAUCGAAGAGGCUGGGGUUGCAAGCACGCUUCUCCUCUCUAGAUGGAYGCCCUUUGCCGCCCCUGCCUUGCUWUCGUUCGAGGCGAGACAGAGWGCGGGAAUAAGACCCCGGCGCGGUUUGCGCCAAGGAUGCUUUUUGUUGGAGCGCGUUGCCUUCUUUUUGUUGUGCGAUGCGUUCCUACUAGUUUCAGAAUAUGCAUGACUCUUGGCAACGGAUAUCUAGGCUCUCGCGUCGAUGAAGAACGUAGCGAAAUGCGAUACUUGGUGUGAAUUGCAGAAUCCCGUGAACCAUCGAGUCUUUGAACGCAAGUUGCGCCCAAGACCAUCAGGUCGAGGGCACGUCUGCUUGGGCGUCACGCCUUGCGUCACUCGGAGCACCUUCCUGUCACGCAGUUUCUGGUGUAUCUUGAUGUGGAUAUUGACCCUCCGCGUUAUGCGCGGUGGGUUCAAGUGAUUGGCGGCGCUGGGUUUCCACGCGACGGAAUGGUGGAUAGGUUAUACGCUUUAAGCCUCCGGUUGUGCACGUGACUCCCUAGCCAUGACUUACAUGAAGUGGAACCCAUAACGAUGUUUGCGCCUUUUGCAAGAUCGGACC